GAUCCUGGCUCAGGAUGAACGCUAGCUACAGGCUUAACACAUGCAAGUCGAGGGGCAGCAUGGACUCAGCUUCGCUGAGUUUGAUGGCGACCGGCGCACGGGUGAGUAACGCGUAUCCAACCUGCCCUUUACUCCGGGAUAGUCUCCUGAAAAGGGAGUUUAAUACCGGAUGUGUUUGUCUUUCCGCGAUGGGAGCGACAAAUAAAGAUUGAUUGGUAAAGGAUGGGGGAUGCGUCCCAUUAG
This 243-nucleotide ribosomal RNA is filed under the name uncultured bacterium. Its description in RNAcentral is "partial 16S ribosomal RNA". It matches the Rfam family "Bacterial small subunit ribosomal RNA", at positions 15 to 244 of the family's 1533-position model. The record is from RNAcentral.